RNAcentral lists this ribosomal RNA (497 nucleotides) under uncultured bacterium. RNAcentral describes it as "partial 16S ribosomal RNA". It matches the Rfam family "Bacterial small subunit ribosomal RNA", at positions 28 to 507 of the family's 1533-position model. The record is from RNAcentral.
GAUGAACGCUGGCGGCGUGCCUAAUACAUGCAAGUCGAGCGAACGGAUGAGAAGCUUGCUUCUCUGAUGUUAGCGGCGGACGGGUGAGUAACACGUGGAUAACCUACCUAUAAGACUGGGAUAACUUCGGGAAACCGGAGCUAAUACCGGAUAAUAUUUUGAACCGCAUGGUUCAAAAGUGAAAGACGGUCUUGCUGUCACUUAUAGAUGGAUCCGCGCUGCAUUAGCUAGUUGGUAAGGUAACGGCUUACCAAGGCAACGAUGCAUAGCCGACCUGAGAGGGUGAUCGGCCACACUGGAACUGAGACACGGUCCAGACUCCUACGGGAGGCAGCAGUAGGGAAUCUUCCGCAAUGGGCGAAAGCCUGACGGAGCAACGCCGCGUGAGUGAUGAAGGUCUUCGGAUCGUAAAACUCGGUUAUUAGGGAAGAACAUAUGUGUAAGUAACUGUGCACAUCUUGACGGUACCUAAUCAGAAAGCCACGGCUAACUACGUG